RNAcentral lists this ribosomal RNA (454 nucleotides) under uncultured bacterium. Its description in RNAcentral is "bacterial SSU rRNA". It matches the Rfam family "Bacterial small subunit ribosomal RNA", at positions 162 to 589 of the family's 1533-position model. The record is from RNAcentral.
GCUAAUACCGCAUGAUGUCCAGACCUCGCAUGGGGACUGGAUCAAAGAGGGCCUCUGCUUGCAAGCUCUCGCCAAAGGAGGAGGUCGCGGCGUAUCAGCUAGUUGGUAGGAUAACGGCCUACCAAGGCUACGACGCGUAGUGGGUAUGAGAGGACGACCCGCCACAUUGGGACUGAGAUACGGCCCAGACUCCUACGGGAGGCAGCAGUGGGGAAUAUUGCGCAAUGGCCGAAAGGCUGACGCAGCGACGCCGCGUGUGGGAGGAAGCCCUUCGGGGUGUAAACCACUGUCGGAGGGGAAGAACCCCGUCAACUCGAAUAGGGUUGGCGGCUGACGGUACCCUCAAAGGAAGCGCCCGGCUAACUCCGUGCCAGCAGCCCGCGGUAAGACGGAGGGCGCAAGCGUUGUUCGGAAUUACUGGGCGUAAAAGCGCGAGCAGGUGGGUUGGUAAGUC